Molecule: ribosomal RNA, 662 nt
Filed under: uncultured Bacteroides sp.
Lineage: Bacteria; Pseudomonadati; Bacteroidota; Bacteroidia; Bacteroidales; Bacteroidaceae
Description: bacterial SSU rRNA
Rfam family: Bacterial small subunit ribosomal RNA
Source: RNAcentral
GGCAGCAUGGGUCUUAGCUUGCUAAGGCUGAUGGCGACCGGCGCACGGGUGAGUAACACGUAUCCCACUUGCCGUCUACUCUUGGCCAGCCUUCUGAAAGGAAGAUUACAUCCAGGAUGGGAUCAUGAGUUCACAUGUCCGCAUGAUUAAAGGUAUUUUCCGGUAGACGAUGGGGAUGCGUUCCAUUAGAUAGUAGGCGGGGUAACGGCCCACCUAGUCAACGAUGGAUAGGGGUUCUGAGAGGAAGGUCCCCCACAUUGGAACUGAGACACGGUCCAAACUCCUACGGGAGGCAGCAGUGAGGAAUAUUGGUCAAUGGGCGAUGGCCUGAACCAGCCAAGUAGCGUGAAGGAUGACUGCCCUAUGGGUUGUAAACUUCUUUUAUAAAGGAAUAAAGUCGGGUAUGCAUACCCGUUUGCAUGUACUUUAUGAAUAAGGAUCGGCUAACUCCGUGCUAGCAGCCGCGGUAAUACGGAGGAUCCGAGCGUUAUCCGGAUUUAUUGGGUUUAAAGGGAGCGUAGAUGGAUGUUUAAGUCAGUUGUGAAAGUUUGCGGCUCAACCGUAAAAUUGCAGUUGAUACUGGAUGUCUUGAGUGCAGUUGAGGCAGGCGGAAUUCGUGGUGUAGCGGUGAAAUGCUUAGAUAUCACGAAGAACUCCGAUUG